CAUGAAAAGCGAUAGCAGUGGAAAAAGGCCAGCUGGUUCAACAUGCCAGUCCUUUUAAAGCAGAGGCAGAAAAAGAAGGAGGCUACAGAUCACUUUAGACUAUGAAACAGGGCAGCUGAUCAGAGGGAAGCAGCCUUUAGAGCAAUGCUAGCUCUUGCAGACCCAGGAAGCAGAAUAAUAUUUUUCAAACCGAAGACUUCGCUCCCAUCGUAACAGAUCAAACCAUCGCUCAGACCAGCAGAUCCCAUCCUUCCUCAGCCUGAUGCUUCCCCUUCCUCCUCGCAGCAGGAGGCUGCUGGCAGCUGGGGACAGCGAGCCACGGCCGCGGGCCGGCGUGGGGCUUGCCGGCAGGUGAGCUGCUGCUGGCAGCUGGGGACACCGGCGCCCGAGGAGGAGGAGGAGGAGGAAGAUGGGAGCCCACAGUUUGCUGCCAUGUACGU
RNAcentral lists this long non-coding RNA (440 nucleotides) under Calidris pygmaea (Spoon-billed sandpiper). RNAcentral's name for it is "lncRNA (ENSCPGG00000017286.1)". The record is from RNAcentral. Lineage: Eukaryota; Metazoa; Chordata; Aves; Charadriiformes; Scolopacidae.